RNAcentral lists this long non-coding RNA (403 nucleotides) under Erythranthe guttata (spotted monkey flower). Its description in RNAcentral is "long non-coding RNA (EGUT_LNC001927)". The record is from RNAcentral. Lineage: Eukaryota; Viridiplantae; Streptophyta; Magnoliopsida; Lamiales; Phrymaceae.
UUGAAAACCGGACCGGACCGGCCGGUUCGACCGGUUCAACCGCGAACCGGCGCCUUGUCCGGUCCGGUUAUAGGUGAAAACCCAAAAAAGCCAAAAACCCGGGUCAACUACCCCAAACCCGGUUCGACCAGUAAGAACCGGGAAACCCGGGAACCAGUCCAAGAACCGGUUUUUUGCUCAAAAGCAUGUUUCAUGGCCGGAUCUGGUUCGAAAUUGCUCGUGGGUCACUGAAUCUUGUCGGAGAAGGUUGUGGGUGAUUAGAUCUAGGCAGAUUUGGGUCGUAUUUUGCUCAAUCGAAGUGGUGGCUACCAUAUCUAUUGAUUGAAGAAAAGAAGAGGAAUAAGGUGAAAAAGAAAAUAAAGAGAAAAAUGAAAAAAAUUAAAGUGGGAAAAACAAAGUAUAU